This 97-nucleotide transfer RNA is filed under the name Myxococcus stipitatus DSM 14675. RNAcentral describes it as "tRNA-SeC (TCA) (tRNA-SeC-TCA-1-1)". It matches the Rfam family "Selenocysteine transfer RNA". The record is from RNAcentral. Lineage: Bacteria; Pseudomonadati; Myxococcota; Myxococcia; Myxococcales; Myxococcaceae.
GGUAGGGCCUCCGGACCUGGUGGCUGGCUUGGUCUUCAAAACCAAUGGGGGACGUUGAGAGACGUCCUUGGCGAGUUCGAUUCUCGUGCUCUACCGA